UCCAGAUGAUGCUAACGCCAAAGCUAUG
Molecule: small RNA, 28 nt
Filed under: Bombyx mori (domestic silkworm)
Lineage: Eukaryota; Metazoa; Arthropoda; Insecta; Lepidoptera; Bombycidae
Description: ovarian small RNA-26771
Source: RNAcentral